GAGCUGUUCAUAAGUGGAAUGGACCAGGCUGCCUUUCCAAGUGGUAGGUUCCCUGAAGUUCUUCAGACAAUUGUUAGGUCAUCACUCAAUGGGGAUGUUGCUAUUUAAAGUCUUCUUUUUUCUGGUCUGAAUUGGACUAGAUGACUUCUGGAGCCCCUUCCAACUCUGAGACUCAUCCAUGAUUCUCUGAUGAGUCACAAAACAUAUCACCAGAGGUAUUAGGAAAAGGGGUGGAAGGACAGUUCUUCCUGGUCUGCCCAGGACAUUAUUGUCCCUUCCUUGGGACAACCCAGCCUCUCCUGUGCCCACCAAACUCUUCUGCUGGUACCCUUGGACAAACCAAGUGCCAGGACUGUGGAGAGGGAGGCCAAUGUGUGGAUGGUGAACACCAAGAGGAAGCACUCAUUCAGUCUACAGAGCCACCUCCAUCAGAAAAAGAAGAGCAUAAGUGUCCACUUUGCCCAUCAGGUAAAAUAGGUGUCCCCAGCACCAGCACCUCAGAAAAGAAAUGUUGAGGGAAGAGAAUUGGAGCAGGAAAAAGACUCAGUAUCCUGAGAGAUCUGGAAAGGAAAAAAGAAACCCACUACAUGGCCAAAAUUUAGCAAGAGAACAGCAGAAUGGAAGGAGAGGGGAGGAAGUUAGAGCCUGAGAACAUCUUUCUCGAAAGGACCAUGACAUGCAAGUAUUACAAUGAUGAAACGUCAACCCCAAAUUUCAAAUUCUUCCAUCCCUACUAUAAAAGUAAUUUUGCCCAGGACCUUCCACCAUCCCUAAUACUUCCUCUCUUCCAUGAGCACUAUAGCAUUCAAUGUGCAAAGAUCUUUCCACAGGAUCUGGGGUGUUCAGACUUCCCAAAAAUCCCAAAUGGUACCCUUCACUCCAGAGCUGUAUCCUUGAACAGGUCACUUCUCCCCUGAUGGCAUCACCAUCCCUCCAUGCCCAUCUGGAAGCUUUGAAGCCCAGAAAGAGAGCCCACAGCUCAUCAAAGAGACCAUCUCUUGCUCAACAGACCUGGGAAUGUGUCUACGGUGCCCAGCUGGACAUUUCUGUCCCAAGGGAGCCACCUACCCCAGCCCAUGCCAAGCUGGCACAUUCAGCCCUCUCCCUGGACAAGAUGAAGCGGCAGAUUGCAUUCCAUGCCCAGCAGGCAGAGCCUGUACCCAGACUGGGCUGGCCCAGCCAGACUCAGAGUGCUUCCCGGGGUAUGUGUGUCCCAUUGGAUCCUCCAGUCCGUACUCCCUCAACAAUGCCUGCCCCCCAGGAACCUUCAGUGAUCGUACUGACCUCUUUGACCUGUCUCAGUGCUCUGCAACUACCCACCUUCUGCCUUUAG
This 1333-nucleotide long non-coding RNA is filed under the name Monodelphis domestica (gray short-tailed opossum). Its description in RNAcentral is "lncRNA (ENSMODG00000028323.2)". The record is from RNAcentral. Lineage: Eukaryota; Metazoa; Chordata; Mammalia; Didelphimorphia; Didelphidae.